ACACAUGCAAGUCGAGCGGAAACGAGAAUAGCUUGCUAUUCGGCGUCGAGCGGCGGACGGGUGAGUAAUGCUUGGGAAUAUGCCUAAUGGUGGGGGACAACAGUUGGAAACGACUGCUAAUACCGCAUAAUGUCUACGGACCAAAGGAGGGGAUUCUUCGGAACCUUUCGCCAUUUGAUUAGCCCAAGUGAGAUUAGCUAGUAGGUAAGGUAAUGGCUUACCUAGGCGACGAUCUCUAGCUGGUUUGAGAGGAUGAUCAGCCACACUGGGACUGAGACACGGCCCAGACUCCUACGGGAGGCAGCAGUGGGGAAUAUUGCACAAUGGGCGAAAGCCUGAUGCAGCCAUGCCGCGUGUGUGAAGAAGGCCUUCGGGUUGUAAAGCACUUUCAGCGAGGAGGAAAGGGUGUAGAUUAAUACUCUGCAUCUGUGACGUUACUCGCAGAAGAAGCACCGGCUAACUUCGUGCCAGCAGCCGCGGUAAUACGAGGGGUGCAAGCGUUAAUCGGAAUUACUGGGCGUAAAGCGUGCGUAGGUGGUUUGUUAAGCAAGAUGUGAAAGCCCCGGGCUCAACCUGGGAACUGCAUUUUGAACUGGCAAACUAGAGUUUUGUAGAGGGUAGUGGAAUUUCCAGUGUAGCGGUGAAAUGCGUAGAGAUUGGAAGGAACAUCAGUGGCGAAGGCGGCUACCUGGACAGAGACUGACACUGAGGCACGAAAGCGUGGGGAGCAAACAGGAUUAGAUACCCUGGUAGUCCACGCCGUAAACGAUGUCAACUAGCCGUCUGUAGACUUGAUCUGUGGGUGGCGUAGCUAACGCGCUAAGUUGACCGCCUGGGGAGUACGGCCGCAAGGUUAAAACUCAAAUGAAUUGACGGGGGCCCGCACAAGCGGUGGAGCAUGUGGUUUAAUUCGAUGCAACGCGAAGAACCUUACCAUCCCUUGACAUCCUACUAAGUUACUAGAGAUA
This 968-nucleotide ribosomal RNA is filed under the name Colwellia sp. Spedv4. Its description in RNAcentral is "bacterial SSU rRNA". It matches the Rfam family "Bacterial small subunit ribosomal RNA", at positions 51 to 1008 of the family's 1533-position model. The record is from RNAcentral. Lineage: Bacteria; Pseudomonadati; Pseudomonadota; Gammaproteobacteria; Alteromonadales; Colwelliaceae.